This is a non-coding RNA of Trichonephila clavipes, 71 nucleotides long. The record is from the annotation of a GenBank genome assembly. Lineage: Eukaryota; Metazoa; Arthropoda; Arachnida; Araneae; Nephilidae.
GUUCUUGUAGCGCAAUGGAUAGUGCGUUGGACAUCUAAUCCAAAGGUCGUGGGGCCAUCCCACCUGGGAUG